GUGAACCUGUAUUUUUUUCUUCACAAAUGACUAGCCUGGAUCUUGCAGUUUCAAUAAAAAGAGAUGAACUUUGGUAACUGGACAUGAGCAGUUUCUCCUCUAGCUUUUGUUGUCCCUCUGGAGUGGAUUCUGGUGUACUGCUGCCUCUGAGAUGGUCCCUGUGCUGCCAGGCUUACUCUGUUGGCUGUACUUUCAGCCUCAUCCAUGCUGCUUUCUGGCAGACUGCUACAGGGAAGUGCUCUGGACAAAAAUCAGGAUCUGAAGAAUGGACCUUGUGCAGAGACUUCCUUUCAAGAUGGUCUAGCACCUUGAAAUGUUUGGAAACAGUUUGCUUUCCCCCCUCUGAGGAUGAACUUCUGUAGGGUUUAGGGUGCCACUGUUGGCACUCAGCAAGCAUUUAGAAAAAUUAAGACAGCUCUGUGCUUAGGUCUCAGAAAGGAGCACUGCAGGAAGCACAUCCUUGUACUGCCACACCCAAGUGGGUUGUCAGGGUGCAGCCCCACCACUGUCGCUCCUUGGCUCUGUGCUCUGGAUGUGGCACAUGUGCUCCCUGAGGCAUGAGAACCAGAGUUCUGCUGGCUGCCAGGGCAUGCCAAGGUCUUGAAGUGACCACCAAAAUGUCGUUGUUAUUUCGAGAACAAGACCAAGCAGAUCCUGCCUAUGAAGAGCACGGUGUAGUAGUUUCUGUUCUCAGACCUCGGUUUCAGCACAUCAGGGUUACUUCAAUAAAUUAAAAAUAAAAAAUAAAUACUUUGGUAUAUUUUGGCUAGUAUAAAACACUCUUGACUGACAAAUAACCUGCUGAAGAAUCAGGCCUGCUCUUUGGGCUACUAUGGGCUUGAACAUCUCAUUUUAGCCUGCCUAAUCCAAAUUGCUUUAUCAGACUAAAUACUAAAAGUAAGGAAAAUAGGAAUCCAACAAAGUUCCAAUUGUUUUGAGCCAGUCUUUUAUUUGCUUGUUCAGAUCCCUUUCAGAAUUUGGAAGCAAGCAAGUACUUUAUUACUCUCUAAAAUGUUUCUUUCCCUCCCCCUUA
Passer domesticus (house sparrow) is the source of this 1033-nucleotide long non-coding RNA. RefSeq lists it as uncharacterized. The record is from RefSeq and is a predicted model, not a curated record. The transcript is spliced from 3 exons. NCBI's taxonomy places the organism in Eukaryota, Metazoa, Chordata, Aves, Passeriformes, Passeridae.